UAAAUACCAAUGGUCAGCAUCCAUGUUUGUCCUCUGCUUCUCUAAUGAUGCAGAAAUGCCAGCAACUUGGGGCUCACAACAAUACAGGCAGCCACUCCAAUUUGCCAGGACAUUGAGAUGAAUUCAUGCAGAGGAGAACCUGAGUCCUUGAUUGGCUUCUCAAACAAAGGGUUCACAUAGCCUAAUCAUGAAAAAGACACCAGACAAAUUCCAAUUGAAGGACAUUCUAGAGAAUACCUGACCAGAACUCCUCAAACCUGUCAAGAUGAUCAAAACCAAGGAAAAUCACAGACACUGUCAUGACCAAAAGGAGCCUAUGGAGACACAGCUACUAAAUAUAAUGUGGUUUCCUGGAUGGGAUCCUGGAAAGAGCCCAAGGGAAACAUAGCCAUGGGACAUCUUUCUUCAAUGAAGUCUACAUUUACAGCAACCAAGCGCACACAACUCCAUUUCCUGUUUAUGUAAGACUUCUUGCUACUGGAUGCAGGGAAAAUAUAUCCCUCUUAUUGGCUUUCCCAUAAAGGUAUCUCCCACUCACCAAUGCCCUAUUCUUUUCAGGUAAGAUUCAUUCACGUGACAACUGAUUACCAAAAGACUGUAUUGGGGCAAACCUCAUGUUUUUUGUGUCUUGUCAUUCUAUAGGGAGGGAAAUGUCUCUUGCCUAAUACUUCACUUUGUUCCAUGCCCACUGUGUUCCAUAGUUUGGGAAAGCAUACUUUAAAUCCAGCGUGGGAUCUGUUUGAGUGAUCCCUGGAUUUGUAUUGGUUUUGUUUUCUGAAGCAGGUUUGUCUUAGUGGGUGCCCUUUAGAGAUCACUUUUGUUAUAAAAUGAACCAAGAUUAAUAGCCAGCUCCAUGUCAUGUGUUUGCAUGUCUUCAGCUGACGAAUUUCAAAUGACCUUCUUGUUCUGCCAAUACAUUGUGGAGAUACCAUCACUGAAAGCCGGCCCUUGCUACUGCUGACUCUGUCAUAUGGGGAAGGGGACAGUGUGUAAUUCUGCCUGUGGUAAUCUGCUUGUGGCAGUGAUUUUAUAGCCUGCAAACUUUUGCUUAUUGUACCCAGAUGUUGUAUGAUACUUUGCCAAAAAUACAUCUUUUAAAGAAUCUGUCUUAACUCUUUGUUUUGAGAUAAUUUUAUGCUUACAAUAUUUGUCUCAUCAUGUUCUCUCUCUGUCUCUGUAUGUAAACAUUUUUGAACCAUUUGAGAGUAAGUUGCAAAGAAAAUACGCCAUUACCUUAGUGUACAAUUCCUAAAAAUAAGGGUAUUUUCUUACAAAACCAGAGUACAAUUUUCAAAAUCAGAACAUUUAUGUAAGUGCAGUUCUAUUAUCUAAUACAUAGACUUUAGUCAAGUUUUGUAAUUUUUUACUGGCCCAGGAUCAAUCUGGUAUUCAUGUUGCCCUUGGUUUUCUUGUCUCA
Molecule: long non-coding RNA, 1417 nt
Filed under: Homo sapiens (human)
Lineage: Eukaryota; Metazoa; Chordata; Mammalia; Primates; Hominidae
Description: HSALNT0135808
Source: RNAcentral